GGGAGUGUAGCUCAGUGGUUAGAGCAGGCCACUCAUAAUGGCUAGGUCGCGGGUUCGAAUCCUGCCACUCCUA
This 73-nucleotide transfer RNA is filed under the name Algisphaera agarilytica. It matches the Rfam family "tRNA". Rfam says of the family: Transfer RNA (tRNA) molecules are approximately 80 nucleotides in length. Their secondary structure includes four short double-helical elements and three loops (D, anti-codon, and T loops). The record is from Rfam by way of RNAcentral. RNAcentral also lists the same sequence under 1 other name. Lineage: Bacteria; Pseudomonadati; Planctomycetota; Phycisphaerae; Phycisphaerales; Phycisphaeraceae.